AUGUUUUUCCCCCUCACACCAUCAAGCCCACAGUGAUCAUCAACUUCUGCCAUGUUCCUGAGAUUGACCAGAGGACAAGAUGUGAAGAGACGGCCACGGUCCAGGGGUGGCACACAGGAGCUCCAUCACACCUGACCCUGCUGUGUCGCUGAGGGAACCUCCUGGUGAGCACCGGGCAGUCGGCACGGAGCUGGCCAAGACCAGACUCGGCCGGCAGUGACCACGAACAAGGAUCAGCCCGGCGUCUGAAGUGACUGCCAAGAACAAGGGUCAAGGACGGGCCCGCGGUGGGUGUCGGAGGUCAGUCGAGGUCGCGCGGCCGAGAGAACAAAGAGUGACCCGGCGUUGGAAUGAGGGGGGGGGGGGGGGCCCAAGAAGGAAGAGGGACCAUUGGGACCACACUGGUCACUCAUCACCCCAACACAAGAAGGACUUCAGGACUGAUGGACAGACCGGCAAUCAGCGUUAAGAUGACUUGUCAUGGGUCAGGGCACUCCGCUCCCCUCUGAAAUCACCAUAAACACCACUCCGCUGGAAAAUGUCUUAAAUUCACCAACCUAGGAUCUACGGUGACCGACAGCAACUCAUGGAUGAGGAAACCACUUCACGUACAGUAAACCACCUUCCUCUACAGCACCCAGGUUCGGGAGACUAAGCAAGUGGACAUGGAAGAACAGGAAACUCACAAUGAAGACCAAGGCAACUGUCUACAACGAGUGAGUGUUGAACACGUUACUGUACAGCAGUGAAGCUUGGGCGACUUACCUCCAUCAAGAAACAUCAAGGAGUGAUGUGGAGAACAAAAUGGGACCUGCGUCGGAACCAGGACAGACCUUCAGAGACAUGGACAUCCAGGAACUUGCAACAUAACGUUCUCCACCACUGUCCCAUUAAUGGAGACAAGUUUGUGGAUCAUCGGCUUUCCCCUCUUGAGGUCAUCGACCAUCGGCCAUGUUUCCUGUGAUUGACCAGAGGACAAUAUCUGACGAGACGGCCAUGGACCAGGGCUGGCACACAGAAGCUUCAUCACACCUGACCCUGCUGUGUUGCUGAGGAAGAUCUGGUGUCACUGGGAAUGUGGAGCUGAUCCUCUGUAAACUGCCCUCAGUGGAAGACCGUGAUGGAGAUGUGUUUUUAGAGCUCGGCUGUCAGCAAAGAUGGAGCAGAAAACUGCUGGAGGAACUCAGUGGGUCAGGCAGCAUCUGUGGAGGAAAUGGACUGAUGACAUUUGGAUCAAGACGCCAUUCUCGUCUCCAAUUACCAGGUCGGUUUCUGAUGACCGUAAAUGGCCAAGGUUGAUGAUCAUCAUGGACUUGCAUGUCAGAUGCUUGAAGAUCCUGGAGACCCAAUCUUGCUCCACGUUCUCUGCGAACUUCCACACCUGGCACUGGAGAAGCUGUUGAGGAACAACUUGGUGGGAUUUCUUAGGGCGCUGGAUCUCCUCCAGAUUGUUUGAAGGUGGAUGCCGCAGGUCGGUCGAGGACACGACUCCGAGAGGACAUUUCAUCUGCGGAGGGAUUGGACAGACACCGGUUUGGAUCAGGAAUCUUCAAGACUCCAUUCUUGUCUCCAUUUACCAGGUCGGUUUCUGAUGACAGGAAAUGACCAAGAUUGAUGAUCACCGUGGACUUGAAUGACAGAAGAUUGAAGCCACUCAAGACCGGACUUGGCCUGCUUUGGCCACGAAGAAGGACGAACCCGGCAGCCGAAGUGACCACCGAGACAAGGGUCAAGUACGGGCCCUCGGUAGGUGCCGGAGGUCAGACUGCUCAUGGAAUGGCACGCCGCGGAGAAGGAAGAGGAACCAUCGGGAUCAUAUUGGUCACUCAUCACCCCAACAGAAGAAGGACUUCAGGGGCUGAUGGACAGACUGUCUCAUGCUUGCAAUGGUUACUGACUGGCAAUCAGUUUUAAUAUAACUGUUGUCAUGGAUCAAGGAACUCCACUCCCCUCUGUAAUCAUCCUAAACACCACUCAGCUGGAAACUCAUCCAAUUCACCUACCGAGGAUCAACAGUGACUGAUAGCCACUCUCUGGAUGAGGAAAUCAUCAAUUAAUCUACAGUAAACCUCCUUCCUCUACAGUAACCACAUUCUGGAGGAUAUCCAAGCAGAUAUGGAAGAACAGAUUGAUUAGUAGGACGAUGUUACAAUCCCUAAGGUUUCACUACAAUUGACAUUCUUGGGGAUGACCACCAGGUCAUUUUGCUACCAAUCGGACACAUCUUCAGUUGUGUACCUCAACGUCACUGGGCGUUGCGGCCUUUUAUCACAAGACACCCUCAGUCGAGGCAGGCCCACCGCAGGGUGAUCAGACCUGGGUGUGUGUCUUAUGCUUAGCCUCUAGAUGGUCAGUCACGUGACAGCCCUGACAGCAUCCUUUCUCUUCAGCCACACAGCCAGUGACUGCUCCAUUCGGCUUUUUUCCUUCCAUCUUCCUCUGUUCCGCUGCCUGUGGCUGGUUGGGCUCUGGACUCGUGUCAUUUGGUGGGACAGUACUUGGUUGAGCUUUUCCUGGGGUGCUGAUACCCUGUGGUCAACCUGCCACUGGGCUUCACUCGACUGGUUUGACCUACCGCUUAGAAAGUAAUGGUCAUUGCGAGGCCUCUCACCAAACUCUCUCAGGCCCUGGUGGAUCUCGAGACCCUUCUCGGAUGUUAUCUUUUCCCAGCCACAGAUGCAGCUUCGUAGCUUAUGUCCUGGCGGGGCUGCUGCUCUGCCAAUUGCUGUGCUAGUUGUAAUAUUCAUAGUCGAUUCCUUCCAGGAGUAAUAAUGUCCUAUUGGCAGCAUUCCCUCAGAUUAUCAAUCUCUCUCCUGCACUCUGACUUGUCAUUACCCAUUAUUUGCCCAACAUUGGUGGUACCAUCUGUGAAAUUUAAAGACGGCAUUGGAAUGGUCUGGCUAUGCAGUCCUGGUGAUACAGCAGGGGACUGAGCACACAGCCUUGAGCUGGUCCUGUGUUGGUUAUAGAGGAUGUGUUGCAUUAGGGCUGCAAGCUGUUGUUCAUUGUUAUUUCUGCUGCUGUCUCUUUAGAAACAUAGAAAAUAGGUGCAGGAGUCGAGGCCAUUCGACCCUUCGAGCCUGCACCGCCAUUUAAUGUGAUAAUGGCUGAUCAUCCAACUCAGUAUCCUGUACCUGCCUUCUCUUCACACCCCCUGAUCCCUUUAGCCACAAGGGCCACAUCUAACGCCCUCUUAAAUAUAGCCAAUGAACUGGCCUCAACUAUUCUUUCUGUGGAAGAGGAUUCCACAGAUUCACCACUCUCUGUGUGAAAAAGAAUGUUCUCAUCUCGGUCCUAAAAGACUUCCCCCUUAUCCUUAAACUGUGAUCCCUAGUUCUGGAUUUUCCCAACAUCGGGAACAAAGUUGUCGUUCACCUGACUGAGGUCAGUUGACAGGACUCACCAUGGGGAGAUCGACAACAGCGCUCAUAUGAGCAAUCUUGAUGCCAUCCUCACCAACACCAUGCAUAUCAUCACCGGCUGCCUACGUCCUACUCCGAUGAAUGUUCUUCUGGUGUUCGCAGGUAUUGCACCCCCUAGCAUCACAGAGAGUAUUUCACCCACAGGCUGGUAUACAAGGCCCCAUCGGACGCCAAACAUCCUCUGCACCACCUCGCCCAGGACUCACAGCUACUGGGACCUCAACGCCUGUCAUCUCGUCGCCUGUUCUCCCGUCACGCAGCGACCCUGUGUGGCUCCAGUUUCAACACACCAGGAGCACGGAGAACCAGCUGGGAACAGACUUCACGACCUCCUCAAUUCACUGUUGCUCCAAACACCACAGCCCCACUCGGCUCCACCCUGCCCCGUAAAGAGUGUGUCGCCCUGAACCGGCUCCGUACAGGGGUCGGCCGGUUCAACGUCAACAUGCAUCACUGGGGGCUGUGUGAUCAGCAGCCUGCGUGUGUGGAGCAGACCAGCAAACAGCGCAGCACGACAUUUUCAACAGCACUGUCCUCCGUUCCCCCCUGGUGGAGGGCUGGAUCUCACAGCCCUUGACAACAGCACCUUGAAUUGGCUACAGCUCCUGAUGGCCGUUACAUAACCUCUACUGCUUCAAACGCAAGAAGAAGUAUAGAGGAGGGGGUGUUGCCAGUUUGUGCUGAGCUGGAGGCCUUGCUCGAGACUGACUUUAAGCCCCGUGGACUUACCAUCUGAGCCCUUGCUUGGGAUCGACACUCCAACCACUGCCUGCGGAUUUCAACAUCAAGUGAGACCACACCUGGAGUAUUGUGUGCAGUUUUGGUCCCCUAAUUUGAGGAAGGCCAUUCUUGCUAUUGUGAGAGUGCAGAGUAGGUUUACAAGGUUAAUUCCCGGGAUGGCGGGACUGUCAUAUGCUGAGAGAAUGGAGCGGCUGGGCUUGUACACUCUGGAGUUUAGAAGGAUGAGAGGAUAUCUCAUUGAAACAUAAAAGAUUGUUACGGGUUUGGACACGCUAGAGGCAGGAAACAUCUUCCCGAUGUUGGGGGAGUCCCGAACCAGGGAGCCACAGUUUAAGAAUAAGGGGGUAAGCCAUUUAGAACGGAGACGAGGAAACACUUUGUUUCCCCACACAAAAUGGUGAGUCUGCGGAAUUAUCUGCCUCAGGGCGGUGGAGGCCGGUUCUCUGGAUGCUUUCAAGAGAGAGCUUAAAAAUAGUGGAGUCUGGGGUCGAUGUCUGCCAGACCCUGAGCUCCAUUUGGUGGGUGGUAGAGAUGACAUGGUUGGCUGGCUGUUGUUCUCUGCAUUCACAGGCUGGGCUCGCCAGUGUGAUCAUCAGCAUCUGAUUGACCUGAGAUUGACCAAAGGACAAGAUCUGAAGAGAUGGGCCAUGGACCAAGGGAAACGUAGAAGCUUCAUCGCUCCCGACUCUUCUGUGCUCCUGAGGAUGUGGUGCUACUAGGAAUAGACUGAGCUGCUUCUCCGCAGAACUGCCUUCCCGUGCCUGGUCUGGGACAUCGCUCGGGACUUCAGGUACGUCCUUUUAUUCUGAGGCUAUGGCGUCGUCGAAGACUCUCCGACUGGUGGAAACAUCCUCUCCACAUCCACUCUUACUAUUUGGAUCGCUCAGUAUUUGGAGAAACAGUGGGCCUUUGGGAUCUUCAGUGUUGCCCUGCCCUUCAAGUCCACGGCUGGUGAUCUACCUCCAACAUUUUGCUGCACAGAGCCAGAGGGAAAUAUCGAGCAGAAGCCCAUUGAAGCCUCGUCACUACGGACUGCAACCGGUUCCAACGAGAGAGGUCAGAUGUCACCAGAAACCCACUGUAACCACUCUGGACACUGCUCUUCCAGGGUGCAGGACGUUACUCAGUACGUACCCUUCCAAAGGGUGUCUAUGUAGACAGCAAGACUUAACCUAUUGGGGUCAUGAGGACCAGUGGGUGUAUUGUCAUAUUGAAUGGCGGUGCAGGCUCGAAGGGCCGAAUGGCCUACUCAUGCACCUAAUUUCUAUGUUUCUAUCCCCUUCUCCCAUUCUCCAAACCCCCACCCCCUACACACUUUCCCCGAUGCUCCCCAUUUGUGGACCCAGCCUGUGACCAGCGAAUAUCCGCACACUAUUUCACACACGCUAGGGGACAAUUUAUACAAACCAUAACACUAACCAUAACCCUAACACUAACCAUAACCCUAGCCCUAACCCUAACACUAACACUAGCCCUAACCCUAACACUAACUCUAGGUUGAUAGACUUGGUACAUGUAUAAAUUGUCCCAAACGUGUGCGGGAUUAUUGUGCGUGGGAUCGCUGGUCAGUGUGGACUCGAUGGGCCGAAGGGCACUGUAUCUCUGAACUAAAUGUGAUACAGAGGCCCCAGGGGUUGGACUCGAACCCCUAAUGUUCUGCCUGCUCCUCCACCAGAAACCCACUGUAACCACUCUGGACACUGCUCUUCCAGGGUGCAGGACGUUAUUCAGUACGUACCCUUCCAAAGGGUGUCUAUGUAGACAGCAAGACUUAACCUGUUGGGGUCAUGAGGACCAGUGGGUGUAUUGUCCAACCAAGGAGUUGUUCUGAAGUCCUGAUCUCCCUUUCUUUUACAGCAGGCAACUCAAAUCCCACCCACCCUUUCAAAGGUCAUUGAAAAAGCCACUAAUGAAGAGCCGUGAUCUUGUAUAUUGGUCUCUUUUUAUCUUGUGUCUCUGGAAUUCUUGACUCUCAAUACAUCUCUCACCAGAGCUAAGAAAUCUUGUUAUGGUGUAACUGGGGCGUAGGCACUGAAUCUUGCUGAGG
This is a long non-coding RNA of Leucoraja erinaceus (little skate), 6210 nucleotides long. RefSeq lists it as uncharacterized. The transcript has 3 exons. NCBI's taxonomy places the organism in Eukaryota, Metazoa, Chordata, Chondrichthyes, Rajiformes, Rajidae. The record is from RefSeq and is a predicted model, not a curated record.